RNAcentral lists this unclassified non-coding RNA (207 nucleotides) under Hevea brasiliensis (rubber tree). The record is from RNAcentral. Lineage: Eukaryota; Viridiplantae; Streptophyta; Magnoliopsida; Malpighiales; Euphorbiaceae.
UCAAAAUAGAUAUGGGCCUUCAAGGUAUGAUAAAUAUUAGAUGUCUAUUUCAUAUCUCGUCAAUUUUUGGCUACAAAUUGGUCUGAAUUCAGCGAAAGGGGGAAGAAAUUCCAAUUCAUUAGUUGGUAAAAGCUCUGAAAGAUUAUCAUAUUUUCUGGAAUGUUAAUGUAAUUGUAGAGUUGCUCUGAACUUGCUAUCAAAUAGAUG